UGCCAAGUCACAUCAUCCUCCCACACUUUUAGGGAGAACUUCAUUAAAUUGUGCAGUUUUGAAAGAUUUCCCCCAAACAUUCACAUCACAAGAUACCUUUACAUCAAGAUGUUUUGGUUUAGACAUUUGCUCCUGCACCUCUGGUUUUUGGGAUGUCUUUACUUGGCAACACAAGCUUGGCGCGUUGACAUGCCAAGAAAUAUCAAAGGAUUGUUGAAUUCCUGCCUCGUUAUCCCUUGUAGCUUURACUACMAU
Molecule: non-coding RNA, 255 nt
Organism: Poecilia reticulata (guppy)
Lineage: Eukaryota; Metazoa; Chordata; Actinopteri; Cyprinodontiformes; Poeciliidae
Source: RefSeq, a predicted model, not a curated record